RNAcentral lists this ribosomal RNA (404 nucleotides) under uncultured Prevotellaceae bacterium. Its description in RNAcentral is "bacterial SSU rRNA". It matches the Rfam family "Bacterial small subunit ribosomal RNA", at positions 354 to 750 of the family's 1533-position model. Lineage: Bacteria; Pseudomonadati; Bacteroidota; Bacteroidia; Bacteroidales; Prevotellaceae. The record is from RNAcentral.
UGAGGGAAUAUUUGGGGUCAAUGGUCGCGAGACUGAACCAGCCAAGUAGCGUGCAGGACGACGGCCCUCUGGGUUGUAAACUGCUUUUAGUUGGGAAUAAAAGGCGGUACGUGUACCGCGUAUUGUAUGUACCAUCAGAAAAAGGACCGGCUAAUUCCGUGCCAGCAGCCGCGGUAAUACGGAAGGUCCAGGCGUUAUCCGGAUUUAUUGGGUUUAAAGGGAGCGUAGGCGGAUUUUUAAGUCAGUUGUGAAAGUUUGAGGCUCAACCUUAAAAUUGCAGUUGAAACUGGAAGUCUUGAGUGCACGCAGAGGUGCCGGAAUUCAUGGUGUAGCGGUGAAAUGCUUAGAUAUCAUGAAGAACUCCGAUCGCGAAGGCAGCUUUCCAGCGCGCUACUGACGCUGAG